AUCAACUAAAUAAUUACAAAAAGAGUAUAAUUAGGACUCAUAUUACAAAAAUAGUACAAUUCACAUUAAUAAAGAAACCUAAAAUCAAGGAUAACUAAUAAUUCAAAUCUUGUCUCUAACAACAAUUUCAAAUCCAUAUUUCAAAAUUCAAAUCAAAAUGAGAAAAUUAAAAAUAAAAAAUUAUGAAGGAGCUAAUGUUCAUCAUCCUCCUCUCUCGCCGUCACCGCUGCCGCAGCCACAUCGCCGCCGCCGCCGCCACCGGAGUUGCUAUUCUGAAUUUCUUUUGACGAUUUGUGUAAGACCCCAAAUUAUUAAUAAAUGAAAUUUAUUUUUCUCUAUUUAUUAUUUUAAAAUAGUAAGGGUUGAUUUGAUUAAUGUGGAUAGUAUGGGUAAAAUACGCAAAUAUUUCGAAUAAGCAAAUGGUUAUAAAAUAUUCAUUAUUGUCGGGGAAUAUUCGUUUGGUCGUGGAAUAUUCGCCAUUUUUGGACACAAUCAACUAAAAUCAUCAAAUUAGCAUUUCAAAUUUUUCCAGAAUUUUUGAAGGUUCAGAAAAAUUUCGAAAAUGAAAAACAUAAUAACCCUUACAUAUUAACGACAAUAUCCCUUACCUCAAAAGAGCAGUAUUUCUGACUAGAAUAACGUUGAACGAACUUGCACCGUAUAGCAACACUCAAGAUAUAAGAAUACACUUGAUAAUAUAGAGAGAGAAAUAGAGAGAAAACUUU
This 725-nucleotide long non-coding RNA is filed under the name Panax ginseng (ginseng). RNAcentral describes it as "long non-coding RNA (PGIN_LNC007262)". The record is from RNAcentral. Lineage: Eukaryota; Viridiplantae; Streptophyta; Magnoliopsida; Apiales; Araliaceae.